Gallus gallus (chicken) is the source of this 558-nucleotide long non-coding RNA. RefSeq lists it as uncharacterized. NCBI's taxonomy places the organism in Eukaryota, Metazoa, Chordata, Aves, Galliformes, Phasianidae. The record is from RefSeq and is a predicted model, not a curated record. The transcript is spliced from 2 exons.
CUGCCCCUCUACUAUGCGCACGUGAGGCUUCACCUGGAGUACUGUGUCCAGAUGUGGUGUCUUCAGUAGAGGAGAGACAUGGACAUGUUGGAGCACAUCCAGAGGAAGGCCACAAAAAUGAUCUGAGGGAUGAAACACCUACCCUACAAGGACAGCCUGAGAAAGCUGGGGCUGUUCAGCCUGGAGAAGGUUGUGAGGUGACCUGCUGGUGGCCUUUCAGUAUCUAAUGGGGAGCAACAGGAAAAAAGGGGAUAGAUUCUUUAGCAUGGUCUGUGGUGAUAUAACAAAGGUAAAUGGUUUCAAGCUUAAAGAGGAAUCAAAAGAAAACAAGCUGUGGUAAAAAUGGAACGAGUAAAUCUCCAGGACCACUUCAUGCUGGAAGCAAAAGCACUGCAUUUUGUUGCGUUGAAUGCAGCAUGGUCACCAUGGCUCUGGACAACAUUCUGGCCUCUAACACUUCUGCAGAUAUCCAUAAGCUUAUGUCUCAGUCAAAGCAGUAUUUAGAUACGUGCUGGAUUUAAAUAUGGAAAUCAAAGCAAUAAAUUGACAUUUCAUUCA